RNAcentral lists this transfer RNA (73 nucleotides) under Pirellula sp. Its description in RNAcentral is "tRNA-Thr". It matches the Rfam family "tRNA". From Rfam's summary of the family: Transfer RNA (tRNA) molecules are approximately 80 nucleotides in length. Their secondary structure includes four short double-helical elements and three loops (D, anti-codon, and T loops). Further hydrogen bonds mediate the characteristic L-shaped molecular structure. tRNAs have two regions of fundamental functional importance: the anti-codon, which is responsible for specific mRNA codon recognition, and the 3' end, to which the tRNAs corresponding amino acid is attached (by aminoacyl-tRNA synthetases). tRNAs cope with the degeneracy of the genetic code in two manners: having more than one tRNA (with a specific anti-codon) for a particular amino acid; and 'wobble' base-pairing, i.e. permitting non-standard base-pairing at the 3rd anti-codon position. The record is from RNAcentral. Lineage: Bacteria; Pseudomonadati; Planctomycetota; Planctomycetia; Pirellulales; Pirellulaceae. RNAcentral also lists the same sequence under 1 other name.
GCCGGUGUAGCUCAGUUGGUAGAGCAGCUGAUUUGUAAUCAGCAUGUCGGGGGUUCAAGUCCCUUCGCCGGCU